This 209-nucleotide long non-coding RNA is filed under the name Elaeis guineensis (African oil palm). RNAcentral describes it as "long non-coding RNA (EGUI_LNC046816)". Lineage: Eukaryota; Viridiplantae; Streptophyta; Magnoliopsida; Arecales; Arecaceae. The record is from RNAcentral.
CCAUCCUGGAUAAAAUCUCUUUUCAAAAAUUUGACAUGCUAGCUCACAAUCACAUUGUAAUCCUUCGAAAGAUAAAAAUAAUACCCCAAAGACUCUUUUAGGUAUCCUAUAAAAUGAGCUCUCAUAGACUUUACCUCUAAUUUGUCUGUCUAUUAUCGUUUGACAUAGAUCAGACUGUUGGGGAUGUCUGACCAGGAUACUACCACUGC